AUUGAACGCUGGCGGAAUGCUUUACACAUGCAAGUCGAACGGUAGAGGGGGCAACCCCUCGAGAGUGGCGAACGGGUGAGUAAUAUAUCGGAACGUGCCCAGUCGUGGGGGAUAACGUAGCGAAAGUUACGCUAAUACCGCAUACGAUCUAAGGAUGAAAGAGGGGGAUCGCAAGACCUCGCGCGAUUGGAGCGGCCGAUAUCAGAUUAGGUAGUUGGUGGGGUAAAGGCUCACCAAGCCAACGAUCUGUAGCUGGUCUGAGAGGACGACCAGCCACACUGGAACUGAGACACGGUCCAGACUCCUACGGGAGGCAGCAGUGGGGAAUUUUGGACAAUGGACGCAAGUCUGAUCCAGCCAUUCCGCGUGCAGGAUGAAGGCCCUCGGGUUGUAAACUACUUUUGUACGGAACGAAAAGGUCUCUCUUAAUACGGGGGACUCAUGACGGUACCGUAAGAAUAAGCACCGGCUAACUACGUGCCAGCAGCCGCCGUAA
Molecule: ribosomal RNA, 496 nt
Filed under: uncultured bacterium
Lineage: Bacteria
Description: partial 16S ribosomal RNA
Rfam family: Bacterial small subunit ribosomal RNA
Source: RNAcentral